RNAcentral lists this long non-coding RNA (1296 nucleotides) under Homo sapiens (human). Its description in RNAcentral is "novel transcript". The record is from RNAcentral. Lineage: Eukaryota; Metazoa; Chordata; Mammalia; Primates; Hominidae.
AAAGCAUUGAUCUGCACAGAGCUGCUCUCACACUGCAACUGCAUCCAGUUUGCUUCUAGGAUUUUCUUCUACCUUGAAAAACUGCACAUAGUGAAGAGUUUCUUUGCCUUAUUCCUGCAGUCUUAACAUGUCCUACUGAGUAAAGCAUCUGGAAACAUAAGGAGCUUAUGAAGUCCUUGCAGCAGAGUUGAAGGAGCCUCAGAUGUGAUUGGAGGUCAUUGGGAAACACUGUGGGUCUUCUCUGUCUGGCCUUGAAGGAACAAGCUCUGAAGUCUUGAUCCAAAACAGACAAGGCUUUAAUAUGAAAGCAUUUUUCUUUGAAGAAGUUCACCCUGAAGCCUUGGCCCAAUGAUCUCAGAAGAUGAGAGAGAAUGGCAAACCAAAAAGUUCACCCAAAACAUCUCACUUUUCAACUGGAUUUUGUGAAUUUUUUUUUUUUUUUUUUGAGAUGGAGUCUUGCUCUCUUGCCCAUGCUGGAGUACAAUGGUGUGAUCUCGGCUCACUGCAACCUCAGCCGCCCAGGUUCAAGCAAUUCUCCUGCCUCAGCCUCCCGAGUAGCUGGGAUUACAGACACCCGCCACCACGCUCAGUUAAUUUUUACAUGUUUAGUAGAGACAAGCUUUCGCCAUGUUGGCCGGGAUGGUCUCAAACUCUUGACUGCAGGUGAUCCAUCGGCCUUGGCCUCCCAAAGUGCUGGAAUUACAGCUGUGAGCCACCAUGCCGAGCCCAUUUUGUGAAUUUUCAUUACAAAAUUUUUUCACAUUAUACUCCUCUGUCCUCAGAAUCUGUGAACACUCCUCACCACCUGUCUGUCCACCACACCCACAAACUGUUUGGUUCUAUUAUGACUUGCUUACUCAUUUUCAUUCUCUAAACUUCAAAAUUUCAAACCAUCAUUUACUUUCAGGGGUCGAAGGAAUUGUCUAAACUCCUUCUGCUCUCCAUGAUAAAAUAAAUAACCUAUUAUUUUUUUCUUCCUCUCUGAAUUUUUUUCAGCACUCUUAUUUUAAAAUCAAAUAUAUAGCAUAAUUAUUUGAUUAACAUACAUCCCUCUCAUUAUAGUGGAAGCUCCAUAGGGCCAAGAACUAUGAUUGUUUUGAUUGAUCUCUUUAUAGAAUGUAUGGCAAGUAAUAAGUGCUAAUAUUAGUUGGAUAAAUAAGUGAAAGUAUUAUACUAAUUCAUGAGCCACAGAUUGGCAGUGACAUAAAAGGGAAUGUUUUUUGGCUAGCUAUAUCAUCAGUAGAGUAAACACAAAUAUUUUCAUCUGACCGUAAGGCAACCGAUAUCACACAUAUG